CCUACGGGAGGCUGCAGUGGGGAAUAUUGCACAAUGGGCGCAAGCCUGAUGCAGCCAUGCCGCGUGUGUGAAGAAGGCCUUCGGGUUGUAAAGCACUUUCAGCGGGGAGGAAGGCGGUGAGGUUAAUAACCUCAUCGAUUGACGUUACCCGCAGAAGAAGCACCGGCUAACUCCGUGCCAGCAGCCGCGGUAAUACGGAGGGUGCAAGCGUUAAUCGGAAUUACUGGGCGUAAAGCGCACGCAGGCGGUCUGUCAAGUCGGAUGUGAAAUCCCCGGGCUCAACCUGGGAACUGCAUUCGAAACUGGCAGGCUAGAGUCUUGUAGGGGGGGGUAGAAUUCCAGGUGUAGCGGUGAAAUGCGUAGAGAUCUGGAGGAAUACCGGUGGCGAAGGCGGCCCCCUGGACAAAGACUGACGCUCAGGUGCGAAAGCGUGGGGAGCAAACAGGAUUAGAUACCCCUGUAGUC
RNAcentral lists this ribosomal RNA (465 nucleotides) under uncultured Klebsiella sp. Its description in RNAcentral is "bacterial SSU rRNA". It matches the Rfam family "Bacterial small subunit ribosomal RNA", at positions 338 to 795 of the family's 1533-position model. Lineage: Bacteria; Pseudomonadati; Pseudomonadota; Gammaproteobacteria; Enterobacterales; Enterobacteriaceae. The record is from RNAcentral.